ACCACAAACAUCUUAGAUGGACUGAAGAGCUUCUCCUUCUCCUUUUUAUCACCAAAAACAUUAUCCAGAGCAAAAAACUUCUCCAAAACACCAUUUCCUCUAGUGUGUAUUAUUCAAUCUGAUUUCUUAUACUUAAACCAAUUCUUGUCUUAUUCAUCUCUACAAUAUAACACUUUCAUAGUUCAUAUUAUUUUACUUAGCCAAACUUAGUAUACAUCUGCUUUGAAUGCAACUAGCAAAAUCUGAAAUCAAUAAUGGAUUGUGAUUAACUUCAAUGCAAAUUUCUAGCUUAUACAGAUCUAAUCCUAUUCGGACAAAUUUUAGCUCAAUUCUAAAGAUCUUCUGCUACUUCCGUUUAUCCAUGGGAUUUAAGGUAUAGUAGCGAAAUGGAUCAAAUGCAAAAGUCUCAUGUCAAUGGGCACAAAUUUGCAUUUAUGUACCAAAAAUAAGGAGCAUUUUAUUAACAAGAAGACAUAAAUUUUAUGUUGACAAGAAGAGUAUUUUGUGAGCACAAUUUUGUAUUUCAUACUAAUAUUGACAAGAAGAGUAUUUUGUAGGGAGACAAACGGUGCGGGGCGGUGCGAUUGCGGGACAAACCCGCAUAAACCCGCGAAGGUAAUUCAACACACCCCCGCCCCGCCCCGCAAAGUAUAAUUUGUUGUUUUUAAA
Long non-coding RNA from Nicotiana attenuata, 669 nucleotides. RefSeq lists it as uncharacterized. The record is from RefSeq and is a predicted model, not a curated record. The transcript is spliced from 2 exons. Lineage: Eukaryota; Viridiplantae; Streptophyta; Magnoliopsida; Solanales; Solanaceae.